CCACGGUGAUUUGCAAGCAACUCACUGCACUUAGGCACUGGACUAUCUGAAUUUCUAAUUCAGUGACGGAAGGCUGCUGGGUGUAGUCAAGUACUUGACUUGUCGGUGCGUGUAUCAAGAUGGGAUUGACCACUCCAGUUUAGGAGCUGUGUACAGUCAUGUUUCAAUUUAGCAAAAUCUUGGCUAGGGUAGUCCUUGUGAGGAGUCACAGGAGUGUUUGAGUUGAGCACGAUUCGGAUGAUCUGAUCAGGGUUGACAGUUUAACCCUGAGUC
RNAcentral lists this long non-coding RNA (273 nucleotides) under Elaeis guineensis (African oil palm). RNAcentral describes it as "long non-coding RNA (EGUI_LNC079692)". Lineage: Eukaryota; Viridiplantae; Streptophyta; Magnoliopsida; Arecales; Arecaceae. The record is from RNAcentral.